Molecule: long non-coding RNA, 927 nt
Organism: Chlorocebus sabaeus (green monkey)
Lineage: Eukaryota; Metazoa; Chordata; Mammalia; Primates; Cercopithecidae
Source: RefSeq, a predicted model, not a curated record
GCUGGGAUUACACGCAUGAGCCACCACGGCUGGCCCAGGCACAGGUUUUUGUUUCUGUCUUUUGAGCAGGGCUGCAUUGUGACUUUUGUGGCCCUAGACGCUUCUGCCUUCAUGGGCCCCUCCUACAAGAAUAGAUUUUCAUGGGUCGUAAAUAUUCUAUUUGUUUCUGAUGAAAGAAGAAAAUGAAACAUAUUUGUCUAACCUAAAAGUUUCUGUUUUCCCUGAUUUUGAAGGACAUGAGAACAUUCUGUGGGUCUGGAAAAUGUUGUGGACCCUGCGUUGCUACAGUGCCUAAUGGAGAAGUUGGCACUGGUGUUGUGGAAAGAACAAAUAGCAUACGGAGCUCAGGCCUCCUGCUUCGAGGCUGAGGAAGGAUGUGGGACACUCCCCUUCUCUUCCUCCCUCAGUGCCUCCCCAACCCCCGGGUGCCCUUGGAGAUAAGAAGAGUGACAAUGAUGAUCUCACUGAGCCUUUACUACGUCCAAAGUGGGCUACUACACACCCUGUUUCAUUUACUCCCCACGGAGACUCUGUGAGGUUGGGACUAUUAUUCUUUCUACUUUGUAGGAGAGCCGAGAGGAAGCCAGGAGUGGAGUCUUCAGCUGUCUCUGUCCUCUGUGGAUAUCCCCCUGCUCCCAUCUGUGAGGACUGGCCUGUGCUUUGUUUCUAUUGGAGGAAGAGGUACCCUGCUAUGGACUGAAUGGGUCCCCCCAAAUUUCUAUGUUGAAGACUAAAUUUUCAAUGUGAUGGUAUUAAGAGGCAGGGCUUUAGGGCAGUAGUUAGGACAUGAGAAAAAUAUCCUACUGGGAUUCACUCCGCCUUAUGAAGGGAUGAAGACACCAGAGCUCUCUCUUUGAGGGUACAAGAGAGAUACCGGACUUCUAGCCUCCAGCAAUGUGAGAAAUAAAUGCUUAUUGUUUAAACCCA